Molecule: ribosomal RNA, 406 nt
Filed under: uncultured bacterium
Lineage: Bacteria
Description: partial 16S ribosomal RNA
Rfam family: Bacterial small subunit ribosomal RNA
Source: RNAcentral
AUUGAACGCUGGCGGCAGGCCUAACACAUGCAAGUCGAACGAGUGGCGGACGGGUGAGUAAUGUCUGGGAAACUGCCUGAUGGAGGGGGAUAACUACUGGAAACGGUAGCUAAUACCGCAUACCAUCAGAUGUGCCCAGAUGGGAUUAGCUUGUUGGUGGGGUAACGGCUCACCAAGGCCACGAUCCCUAGCUGGUCUGAGAGGAUGACCAGGCACACUGGAACUGAGACACAGUCCAGACGCCUACGGGAGGAAGCAGAGGGGAAUAUUGCACAAUAGGCUAAAGCCUGAUACAGCCAUGCCGCGUGUAUGAAGAGGGCGUUGGGGUUGUAAAGUACUUUCAGCGGGGAGGCGUUACCCGCAGAAGAAGCACCGGCUGACUCCGUGCCAGCAGCCGCGGUAAUUC